CUGCUCAGGUGUACACACACACACACACACACACACACACUCAUGAUCUGUGACCACACCCCCGUCUCCCUCUACGCACCUCCUCACACCUCCCGACCCCCCACACUCUCAUCUCACCCUGACACACUGUGCUCACAGACUCACACUCCGCCACGCGGAGCCCUGGCCUGCCACACACUCCCGUCCGCGCCCACUACAGGCUCAGCUCCUGCUGAACGCUGCCUUCUCAGCUCCCCGUUCUGUCUGCCCCUCUGCCCAGGCCCCCACCCAGCGCCCUCCGCCCACUCACUCUCAUCUCCCCACACUGGCCGCCCGCUUCCCUCAAACCCUAACGAUCACAACACACACGGCCACACCUGUUCCCAGAAGGAGCUCUGAAGCCAUCUGGGCCUCCAUGGAAACCAACAGUGACCAGAUUUUCUUCACCCGAGACAUAACAAACGGAGCCUCCUUCAUUUACCGAGCGCUGAUGUUGUCCAGGUUUAUGCUGGACGAGUUCUCAGGGGUCUCCGCAGUCUCCCUGUCCAUGAUGAAUAAGCCUGUUGUUCAGAGAAGGUACCGAGGGGCGGAACCUCUCCUUGGCCACGCGGUAGUGGGCACAGCUGGGUCAUCUGGGGGCGCAAAGGCUGAGGUCAGAGGACACACAGAGGCGACUGUGGUUGCUGGAUGCUGGAGGUGGUCUCUUCCUGCCCUGCUCUUCUGAUUGCUGGGUGGUGUCCCUUCUACCCCUGGCCUGUUCCUUGGUGGAUUGAUCGGGUGCCAGCCUUCUCACCGCUCUGCCAUUCUGACUCUAAGUGACACAGGGGAGCUCCGCGUGUCUGCAGGCUGAGCUCUCUAUGGAUCCACUCUAUUUCCAGAACACAAGGGGGAGACACCGAGGGAGCAGCUCUCCAAGAUGACCACUCAUCAACCUGGGGUCAGCACCUGCCUUCGCAUGCCGCCUCUCCAUCCCUGCCCCUGCCCCGUGCAUCUCAGCCUCGGCUCCCGGCCUCCGGCUGGUGGACAGGAAUGGAGAGUUGGAGGCCUGCAGGACCAGGGUUUGAAUCCCAGCCCUCAACACACCAGCUGUGACUUUGGACAAAUCCCCGCAAAUUCCCUGGAGCCUGGGUCUUCAGUCUGCAGCGCGGAGUCGUAGCGACGCUCACCUGCCACGAGUGAAGUGUGACGUGAUCCUGUGAUCCUCGUGUGACGUUUUAUCAUGGUUAAAGCUGACUGAGUGUGGACAUCGCCAUAUAAAUAUCUACAUGCCUCUAUCUUGAAAGGCUGCUGCAGGUCUUGCUUCCUUCUAGAAGGUCCGGGACUCGGAGGCCCCACUGGGGUGCGAGGUGCUGUCCUGCGUAUCUGCAGCAGGGUCUGAGCCAUUGUGCUUGACGGAGAAGCAGGCUGAGGCCCGUGGGUCCACUCAGAUCCAGGACUUGAACGUCACUGUGGCAGGAGGGUUCCAGAGGCACGCCCCGACUGAGUUAGGAUAACAGAAAUAACUGUUGAAAUCGCAGCCUCUCCUCUCAGCGAACAGACCUUGCUACGUGUCAGGCCCCGUGCUGACGGUCGCACACAUUAUCUCAUUUAACUACGGUGUCUCGAGGGGGUUGGGACUAUGAUUCCCUGCAUUUUUGAGAAAACUGGGGCACAGAGAGGUUGAGAAGUUGUCCCAGAUCCCAUGGCUAGGGAGUGGUUGCAUAAGAAAGCAAGUCUGAGUCACCAAAGUUCUAAAUCUUAAAGGAAAGUUGUUGUGUGGCUUAGCUUUGGGGCGUAGGUGGACCGGGUUUAAUUGAGCGAGACAGCUCCGUGGGUGCCGGGGGCUUUUCUUUAGCCCCCUCCCUGUUUAUUGGCUCUGCAUCAGCGGCUUUGCUGAGACCAGCGGCCCCUUUGUGCGGAAGAGCCCCGCAGCCACUGAAGUGCUGUUGUGCAGCGUGGGAGAGAGACCCCCAGGCCCUGUGCGAAUCCAAGACUGCAUCAGAAGCAAUCCGCCUCUGUCUCUCCUCCUUCUUGGCUUCAGUACGCGAGUCCCUGGCUUCUGCUGCUUUUCUUCUUUGUCGGGGGUGGGCCGACAUUUCCUGUACUCGUCUCUCCUCCCGUUCCUGACCCUCGUCCCUGGGCUUCACGUGCCCGUGACCAUCAUGGAUCUCAGACGUUGGCGUCCUGUCGCGAUUGGAUUGCGCGUAGCUUCUGUUUAGUUUCUGAAGUUCAUUGCUUUCUCCUCUGUUGCCAUCCCCACCUUCUCCUUCCCACAAGGCGCGACCCUUCACCCGGUCGCCAUGUGGAUUCCGCUCAGCGGCCCGUGUUUAUCUGCACACGCGCAAAGUGCGUGCACCCUUGGGCACUGCUGGGGGUGGGUGUGUCUGAAACUCUGCGUGAAUGACAUUGUGUCGUCUGGUUCCGUUUUCCCUCCGAGCGGUCGUUGGAGACUCAUCCUUGUCAUCCACCAGUCUAGCUCCUGUUUCUGAAGGAGUCACGGCCCUUCACGGGGUCUUACACCACACUUCUCUGUUCCCCUCGGAUGUGCAACUGGGUUUCCUCCAACUCGUCGUUACUACCACAAAACUGAGAUGAUUUUCCUUAACACAAAGCUGACUGAUUCAUGUCUGCAGGAGUUGGCUGGAAGAGUCCCAGUGAUACGUGAGAGGUGCAUUUCCACAUGUCCUCUGCCAAUAGAACCUUGUGCCUAUCUGGAGGGUGUGAAGUGGCAUCUCAGUGAUGUCCUUCACAUCAUGAAAAGCUGGGAGAUGAAGCCUCUCACCAGGUGGUCAAGAGCUUAUUUCACUGUGAUGAAAAAUACCUUUAUCGUCACCUGAAGAGCACGACCAUUCAAAAGCCUAAUUGGGGUGAAGAAAAUAGAUGAAAAAAUAAUCCGUAAAUCUCAGCCACCGGAGACCAUCCUGGCCUUGGGGAGAAGGCGAGGACUUUGCAGCCAAUCAGGUCGUCAGAUUCAGGCUCUGUUCCUCUCAGCCUGAGUCACCUUGGGGACGUUUCUUUGUCCUUCUGAGAAGGGGAUGAAUUCAUUGCACAAGUCUAGGGGGCACCCCAAAUCCUGGGGGGUGCUUUUCCAUAGCAUUUUCCAUUCAUGGCUCCUGCUGGGGUUGCAUAGGGCAAUGCCCCAGCCUCCCAACAUUGUACUCCUCAGUUACACCACGAGAGGCCUAAAAUAAUAAUCGUCCUAAGAAUCGCUUUCAAAUGAGAGGAGGUAAUGAAUGCAGAGAGGCACCUGACAGAUAGCAAGUGCUCGACAGCAUGCACCACCUCCCUACAUUAUUUUUCAGGAAUUGGAGGAAAUGGAGAUGAAUAAGAUGCAGCAUCCGCCAGUGCUUGGGAAACCAAGCAUAAAGAUAGAUGAUGAUAUCAAAGUUGGUGAGACAAUGUGAAACAGGAGAUCACCAGGUGACGCUUGUCUACAUAUUAGAUGAGGGGCAGAGCAGAUCAGCACCGCGACUCCCCGGGCGGGAGGUUGUCUUGGGCGAAGUCCCCAGAGGCAGCUUCUGAAAUGAGGAGUCACGUGCAAAUGAAGGAAGUGCUCCUGGUAGAAACUGGCCGAGGGAUGGGGAGAGCAGGGCAGGGGAGGAAGUGAAGCGAGGCCCAGUCCUGGAGGGACGCUCUGGAACAUAAACCGUACCUCGGAGUCUGCCUCUGCCUGCAGCAAGGAGCUUCCUGUCUUCUGCCCUGGUCAGGCCUGGGCUAGGGCCGCUGUAGGAGGGCACGUCCCUGGGCAUUUCUGGGUCCCUCUGUGGUUUUCUAUAGCAAGUCGCAAGGAUCAGCUACUGAGAAAAGGGCACAGACGCUGGUGAACAGAUGCAUGCUCCAAAUGGCAUUUCCCCCAAAUGGCGGCAGCAAUAUUUCGCAUCCCCUGAGCUCUCCAAGGACACGGCUGCUCUCCCAUUGAAAGGUGGAGUCUAUCGAUCUGGGGUCUCCCUGAUGAGUAGGCGACAGCAGAGGGCGUGUUAUUUAACUUAUAAGGCUGGCCAUAAAAAGUGAUGGCUCUCUCCCUUGAGACGCUUCUCCUUAGAGUCCAGAC
Non-coding RNA from Ictidomys tridecemlineatus (thirteen-lined ground squirrel), 4009 nucleotides. The record is from RefSeq and is a predicted model, not a curated record. Lineage: Eukaryota; Metazoa; Chordata; Mammalia; Rodentia; Sciuridae.